Molecule: unclassified non-coding RNA, 2539 nt
Filed under: Acyrthosiphon pisum (pea aphid)
Lineage: Eukaryota; Metazoa; Arthropoda; Insecta; Hemiptera; Aphididae
Description: electron transfer flavoprotein-ubiquinone oxidoreductase, mitochondrial, transcript variant X2
Source: RNAcentral
CUCCAUGUAAACAAGCCUUGAUUAUAAAAUUAUUGUUAUGUGAUUAAAUACCAUUUAAAAACGAGGCCAAUGGGCAAUGUCUAUCGUUUUUAUAAUCGAACCAAACUCUACAGCGAUACUCGAUAGUCUCACAAAAUCGAAUACGGAAGUAACCAAAGUUCAGUCCAUACAUCAGUAAAAUUUUAAGUUUAAUCGUUGUUGAAUUCAUCACAGUGAUUUCUGUAUGUUUUUAAAAAUCAUAAAGACCAAAAACUCAAAAUGAUGGCCACAACAUCAAAUUUAUUAUUUCGUAAAGUGGGAACAUCAUGCUUCCGUUUAUAUUCAGCUACUUCACCAAAGAUUACAACACAUUAUACUGUGUGUCCACGAGAAAAUGACCAAAGAUGGAAAGAUAUAUCAAUGGAACGUUAUGAGGAUGUGGCUGACGUUGUAAUUGUUGGCGGUGGACCAGCUGGUUUAUCAGCUGCAAUAAAGUUAAAAAAGUUAGCAACUGAAAAUAACAAGGAGCUAAGAGUUUGUGUGGUGGAAAAAGCUUCAGAAGUUGGUAAUCAUAUUCUAUCUGGUGCUGUUGUUGAUCCAAUCGCCUUGAAUGAACUAUUUCCCAAUUGGAAAGAUUUGGGUGCACCAUUAACUACCCCAGUGAAAGAUGAUAAGUUUGGUUAUCUCACUAAAAGUAGUCGUAUACCUAUACCUAUUUUACCAGGUAUGCCAAUGGAUAACCAUGGAAAUUAUAUUGUGAGAUUGGGCCAUUUAGUAAAAUGGCUUGGUGAACAAGCCGAAUCCUUAGGUGUUGAAGUAUAUGCAGGAUAUCCAGCCGCGGAAGUCCUCUAUCAUGAUGAUGGUUCAGUGAAAGGAGUUGCAACUGGUGAUGUUGGCAUUGCCAAAGAUGGAUCACCUAAAGAUAGUUUUGAACGCGGUAUGGAAUUGCAUGCCAAAAUUACCAUAUUUGCUGAAGGUUGUCAUGGUCAUCUUACCAAACAAUUAUUUAAAAAAUUCAAUCUACGUGAAAAUUGUGAACCACAAUCAUAUGGCCUUGGUCUUAAGGAAAUAUGGGAAGUAAAACCUGAACAUCACAGUCCUGGAAAAGUAGAACAUACUGUUGGCUGGCCAUUAGACAAAAAUACUUAUGGUGGCUCCUUUAUUUAUCAUUUGAACGAAUCCACUCCUCUUGUUGCUGUUGGCUUUGUUGUUGGACUUGAUUAUAGUAAUCCAUACUUAUCUCCUUUUAGAGAGUUUCAGAGAUUUAAACAUCACCCUCAUGUCCAACCUUUGUUUGAGGAUGGUAAAAGGAUUGCGUAUGGUGCUAGAGCUCUUAAUGAAGGAGGUUUUCAGUCUAUUCCAAAACUCUCUUUUCCUGGUGGUGCUUUAAUUGGUUGUACUGCUGGAUUUUUAAAUGUACCAAAAAUCAAAGGUACUCAUUAUGCAAUGAAAUCUGGCAUGCUUGCUGCUGAGUCAACUUUUGAUACCAUUUUUAAUACAUCUGUAACAAGCGAAACUGCUGGUUUGGAACCUAAAGACUAUGAAGAAAAAGUAAAAGGCAGUUGGAUAUGGUCAGAUUUGAAAGAAGUAAGAAAUGUUCGACCAUCUUUCCACACAAAGCUUGGACUGUUUGGAGGUAUGGCAUAUUCUGGAUUUACACUUGCCGUUAAAGGAAAGGAACCUUGGACAUUAAGCCAUGGAGUUCCUGAUAAUGAGAGACUGAAAACAAAGACUGAAGUUUCUGUUAUCGAGUAUCCAAAACCUGAUGGAAAAAUUAGCUUUGAUAUUUUAUCUUCUGUGGCAUUAACUGGCACAAACCAUGAAGGAGAUCAACCGGCCCAUUUAACAUUAUUGGACGACUCUGUUCCUGUAAACACAAACCUUAAUCUGUAUGAUGGCCCAGAAGGCAGAUUUUGUCCUGCAGGUGUUUACGAAUACGUGCCAGCCGAGGAUGGCGCUGGCGAUCGGUUGCAAAUAAACGCUCAAAAUUGCAUCCACUGCAAGACUUGUGACAUCAAAGAUGCCACGCAGAAUAUCAACUGGGUGGUGCCCGAACCAGGUGGCGGCCCCGCUUAUAACGGCAUGUAAUCGGCGGAAUCGAUACUACAUACUAUACUAUAGGUACCAGCUAUAAUGUUAUGAUACAACGCCAUUUGUGUGAGACCAUAAUGUGUUAUCGUCUACAAAUAAAUGUGUUUACUCAACUAUUGCUUCCGGCAGCCUAACAACAUCGUCAUUAUUAUCUGCCCUACGACAACGCAUAUUUUUGGUUCGUAUAUUACGCACAUAAAACUCAACUUGUGUUUGAAUUUAUCGUUUAAAUACAUAACUCAUAAUUAUAUUUUAAAUACAAUUACCAUACGAAUAGACGAGGAUAAAAGAAGGGUAUACUCAUUGAAAUUGUUUAAAUGUUUUACUUAAAUAUUUAUCUACUAUAUAUUUUUUUUGUUAGUUUUUUUUAAUAUGGAAUUUUUAAUAUUUUAUGUAUCAUAUAUAUUGUAAUAUGUAUAAUGUUAUGGUUUGUUUUGUUCGUCGAAUUAAAACACUUCGAAUAUAUUAA